Molecule: ribosomal RNA, 492 nt
Filed under: uncultured bacterium
Lineage: Bacteria
Description: partial 16S ribosomal RNA
Rfam family: Bacterial small subunit ribosomal RNA
Source: RNAcentral
AGUGAACGCUGGCGAUAGGCCUAACACAUGCAAGUCGAACGGCAGCACAGUAAGAGCUUGCUCUUACGGGUGGCGAGUGGCGGACGGGUGAGGAAUACAUCGGAAUCUACUUUUUCGUGGGGGAUAACGUAGGGAAACUUACGCUAAUACCGCAUACGACCUACGGGUGAAAGUAGGGGAUCUUCGGACCUUGCGCGAUUGAAUGAGCCGAUGUCGGAUUAGCUAGUUGGCGGGGUAAAGGCCCACCAAGGCGACGAUCCGUAGCUGGUCUGAGAGGAUGAUCAGCCACACUGGAACUGAGACACGGUCCAGACUCCUACGGGAGGCAGCAGUGGGGAAUAUUGGACAAUGGGCGCAAGCCUGAUCCAGCCAUACCGCGUGGGUGAAGAAGGCCUUCGGGUUGUAAAGCCCUUUUGUUGGGAAAGAAAAGCAGCAGGUUAAUACCCCGCUGUUCUGACGGUACCCAAAGAAUAAGCACCGGCUAACUUCGUG